AGCUUCCGCUCCCAGUCACGGUCAGAACAGAGGGGUCAGGAGGCACGGGCGGAAGGGCAGCGGGAAGAUAUCCUGAAUGUAGAAAGAAUUUCCCAGCCAUCAGGCUGAAGGACUCUGUACCCUGAGCAACCCAACAGUCAAGACUGAGGCCCAGCUGCAGGCCACUACUCUGAGCUUCACGCCCAGGGCCUGGCCCAGGGCCCCCAUGCCAUAGAGCCUCACUGCCUAUGAUGAAUAUGGAAUGAGCCAGCACCACACUGUGUCACUGUGGGUACCUGUACACAGGCUGUGACCACCUUUCUGCCUUUCCGACCACUCAGAUGCACAGGAGCUGAAGAAGGCAGAGGACCUGGGUUCAAUUCCCAGCUUCUACGUGACAGGUCACAACUGUCUGUAACUUCUGGUUGGCGUUCACAGGCUCUGCAUGUAUGGAGUGCACAGGCAUAUAUACAGAGCAUAUGGCGUGAUCCAGCCCCACCCUGUCCUGUACAAAUACUCCCUGGAGGGGAGGCAGUCUCAGCCUUCCUGUCCCUACUCUACACUCUCAGGUGUUCCGUGUGUCGCUUCCUGCUAUUACCCUGUGAAGAUGCAUCCAGGU
This is a long non-coding RNA of Apodemus sylvaticus (European woodmouse), 598 nucleotides long. RefSeq lists it as uncharacterized. The record is from RefSeq and is a predicted model, not a curated record. The transcript is spliced from 4 exons. Lineage: Eukaryota; Metazoa; Chordata; Mammalia; Rodentia; Muridae.